RNAcentral lists this ribosomal RNA (496 nucleotides) under uncultured bacterium. Its description in RNAcentral is "partial 16S ribosomal RNA". It matches the Rfam family "Bacterial small subunit ribosomal RNA", at positions 28 to 506 of the family's 1533-position model. The record is from RNAcentral.
GAUGAACGCUGGCGGCGUGCCUAAUACAUGCAAGUCGAGCGAACAGACGUGGAUCUUGCUCCUCUGACGUUAGCGGCGGACGGGUGAGUAACACGUGGAUAACCUACCUAUAAGACUGGGAUAACUUCGGGAAACCGGAGCUAAUACCGGAUAAUAUAUUGAACCGCAUGGUUCAAUAGUGAAAGACGGUUUUGCUGUCACUUAUAGAUGGAUCCGCGCCGCAUUAGCUAGUUGGUAAGGUAACGGCUUACCAAGGCGACGAUGCGUAGCCGACCUGAGAGGGUGAUCGGCAACGCUGGAACUGAGACACGGUCCAGACUCCUACGGGAGGCAGCAGUAGGGAAUCUACCGUAAUGGGCGAAAGCCUGACGGAGCAACGCCGCGUGAGUGAUGAAGGGCUUCGGAUCGGAAAACUCUGUUAUUAGGGAAGAAAAAAUGUGUAAGUAACGAUGCAGGUCUGGACGGUACCUAAGCAGAAAGCCACGGUAAACUACGU